RNAcentral lists this ribosomal RNA (253 nucleotides) under uncultured bacterium. RNAcentral describes it as "partial 16S ribosomal RNA". It matches the Rfam family "Bacterial small subunit ribosomal RNA", at positions 524 to 776 of the family's 1533-position model. The record is from RNAcentral.
UACGAAGGGGGCUAGCGUUGCUCGGAAUCACUGGGCGUAAAGGGUGCGUAGGCGGGUUUUUAAGUCAGGGGUGAAAUCCUGGAGCUCAACUCCAGAACUGCCUUUGAUACUGAAGAUCUUGAGUCCGGAAGAGGAGAGUGGAAUUCCCGGUGUAGCGGUGAAAUGCGCAGAUAUCGGGAAGAACACCCGUGGCGAAGGCGGCUCUCUGGGACGGUACUGACGCUGAGACGCGAAAGCGUGGGGAGCAAACAGG